UGCCACAGAGCCGAAGCACUGGAA
This 24-nucleotide non-coding RNA is filed under the name Arabidopsis thaliana (thale cress). Lineage: Eukaryota; Viridiplantae; Streptophyta; Magnoliopsida; Brassicales; Brassicaceae. The record is from RNAcentral.